This 229-nucleotide unclassified non-coding RNA is filed under the name Hevea brasiliensis (rubber tree). The record is from RNAcentral. Lineage: Eukaryota; Viridiplantae; Streptophyta; Magnoliopsida; Malpighiales; Euphorbiaceae.
AUGGAGUCCCUUGCUUAUAGGAAGAUGUACUUUGAAGAGUUUUGUGCUGCUGCAAUUAGCACAUAUCAAUUAGAGGCACUUGAUGGGUGGGAGCAAAUUGCCUCCGCUGCAUUUGAGCAUUUUGAACGGGAGGGUAACAGAGUCAUCUCUCUUGAANNNNNGAACUGGCACGAGAAUUGAAUGUCGGGCCUUCAGCUUAUUCAUUCAUCAAAGAUUGGAUCAGAAACUC